UGCUUAGUUUAGUGUAGGACUUGUUGUUGAUGUUGUCAUAUUCAUACUGUAUUUUCCAAAGUUCAAUAGCACGUCGUCCUUAGGAUAAGUUGUUGAUAGAAGAAAUAUUUUCCAAAGUUUGAUAGCACGUCAUCCUUAGGAUAAGUUGUUGAUAAAAGAAAUGGACUAAACUAAAGCAUUCCCGGGAGUUGAUGCUGUUGUUAUUGAGCUGCUGCUGUUGUCAUUAACCUGCUGUUGCUGCUGUUGUAGGAGAAGAAGGAGCACGCCCAGGAGAAGAAGGAGUAAGCCCAGGAGAAAAAGAACGAGUAGGAGAAGAAGACCCUGGAUUGGUGUUGCUGGAGUGUUGAGGACCUGGGAUCUGUGACGGCCCUGCACCGGCUCCCACUCGCGAACGUCGCGCGGGCGGCCUGCGUCUGCCGCCUCUGCCGCGCCGUCGCCUCUGACCGCGCCGUGCUGGAGGCCGCCUUUCGUGCGCCCUGGGGCGUGCGCCGCGUCCUCGGCGACCCGGCCACCAGGGCCUUCUGGUGUGCUGCCUCCCUCGCCCGAUUCGCUCUCUCGCGCGCCGCUCGUCGCGGGGACACCGUCCCCGGCAUCGUGCUCAAGUAUUUUGUCUAGUUGUGCAGCAAAAUCUGGCUCAAGCCCGGAAGGAGCAGCAAGCUGCUGUAUUGGUGCUAUAGCAGAGGGAUGGGCCUCCUAGCAAAGCUUGCUGGGGGCAUUUUCAGGAUACGAUUGAUGCCUUGAAGAAGUCAGCUCCCCUUGGAUGGUGCAGUGCAGCAAAUCAAUGUCGAUUCAUUCAUUCUUUAAUGCUGGUUUUCAUUCUUCAAAAGUUGGGUGUACAGGAGCUCUAAGAAGAAGAAUCCCGAAGAAAAAACACACCCGGCAAUGCGUUUUAGCUCAUUGGAGAUAGUUAUGUGUGAAUCUAGUUAUGUGUAUAUUUAGUUGUAUUUUAUAGCUGAAUACCAUAAUUGUACUAUGUUUGGCUGUUGUAUGAAAUAUUAUGCCUUAUUGGCUCCUUUUGAAUCAAAUUAUCUAAUUGCACAAGUAUAGAACUGACGUUUGGUACCCAAAUAACAAUCCUGGUAAUUGGUUCCCAUUUGACUAGUGAGACCUACUUUAAAAUGGAAAAGAAACAAAA
Molecule: long non-coding RNA, 1135 nt
Organism: Aegilops tauschii subsp. strangulata
Lineage: Eukaryota; Viridiplantae; Streptophyta; Magnoliopsida; Poales; Poaceae
Source: RefSeq, a predicted model, not a curated record